RNAcentral lists this long non-coding RNA (2873 nucleotides) under Delphinapterus leucas (beluga whale). RNAcentral's name for it is "lncRNA (ENSDLEG00000018563.1)". Lineage: Eukaryota; Metazoa; Chordata; Mammalia; Artiodactyla; Monodontidae. The record is from RNAcentral.
AUGAAAACAAGUUUGCUCGCUCGCUCUCUCGCCCGCUCUCGCUCCCUCUCUCGGGCAGGAGGAGGGGAGGAGGCUGAGGUUACCAUUACCUCAGGAGGGCGGACUUCCCCACUUUUAAAGUGGCAGUGCCCUCUCCCCUCCCCUCGCCGCUCCACCGCUCUCACUACAAGAAUACAGUGGCAGCUCGCUCGGGCGCACGCAGACCCGGGCCAGGGCGUCCCCAGCGACUUGGGGCUUUGCUCAGGCACACGCGGGCGCAAACAUGCCGUUCCCGGCCCCAGUCCCAGGGAGCCUCCGACACAGAAAACCCGCCGAACAGCUCCGCGGCCCCCCCCCCGCCCCGUUGACCCCCUCAAAAGCCUCCCUGAAAGCGUCUUUCCCCCGGGGGGGGCAGUUCCUCCAAGAGGACACCCCGGGUCAUGGCGCCACCGCUGCAGGCGACUGAGAACGCGGGGCCCCGCUCGCCAUCCCGCACUUGGCCGCGCAGCGCGCUCCGCCGCCCGGGAGGAGAGUGGAGCGGAGCGGGCCGCUCGCCAGCUCGCCAGCCGCCCGCACCCGCUGCCAUGUGCUGGCUGUUGCUCUCCCAGUGAUUGACAGGCGGGCGCACAGUCGGCGUGUCAGCAGCGAACCAAAGUAACAUGCAGUCUUGCACGUUUUUGCCGAAGUGCUUUUGCCCCUUGGAAUGCCUAGGAGUUCAAACAACGUUCAAGCGACGCCUCUGCGCAUUGGAAAUCAAUACACAGAGACGGGAAAUUCAGGUUUUAGACAAUUGCUUCUCGGGAUUCGGUCGCCAACAAUGCCUAAACAAACACGCAUUUGGUCCACACACCCGAGUGCCAGCCCCUCUUCGGCAUAAACCACCCAGUUUUUCACACAUCCGACCGUUUCAGACUUUAACCUUGUUAAGUAGUUCGCUUACGGGGGGGGGGGGGGGAGGGAAAGGGGCCCUGCUUUUUCUUUUGGUGGUAGCAUUUAUUUUAAGAGCAUUAGGUUUAGUAGUGGGAAUGCUACUGGUAAUUUGAAAUGCAACCAGUAAUCUUAGAUCUAAAGCGAGUUCAAAGAAAUAACCAGUUCCUUGCAAAAGCCAACAUUUCUCACCUGACCUUUCCUAAAAUGUCUGCGGAAAGAAAGGAAGGAAACAGUUCUUACCUAACGCAAAGAUUGGAAAUUGCUUUUCAGGCACAUUUACAGCGACUGUAGCUGCUCCUUAUCCAGGGCAGGGAGUUCUGUCUGCAGCUAUCACUCUGCAAACCACUGAGUGCCUUACAGAGCAGUCCCACUCCGGCUCCGCAGAAUUUCAGCUCGUCGCGGGCACCUCCACCUCCACUCCAGGACACGCCUCCAGUGAUAUCAUAUGUCAAUCAUACGGGCUGCCUGAAAACCUGGAGCAGGAUUUCCCCAACAGUCGUUUCCUCUUUCGUUCAUGAGUUCUCGCUUGGAAAUGUUGCCCAGUACCCUCCUGUGAAAAACGUCCUCUAAAAAUGUGGAUUGCCUCUAAAAAUCCUGCAAAUGCUGUUUGUCAUGAAAGAAUACCUUUAAAUCUAGUCAGCAGUCUUUAGUCAUCAAUCUCAGUAAAAGGAUUGGUGGACUCUAUCCUUAAAGUUGAAUUAGAAAACAAUUUUUUUUGAAGAAUAAAAGAAGAUUAAAAAGUUGUAUAUCAAGCCAUCACUUCUGAUCAGUUAGUGAGAGAAUGUAUAUUGAUAGGAAAAAGAUGAUAAUAUAACAUUAGUUCCUAUUUAAAGCAAAGUUCAGACUAUGUGGAACCUCAAAGUUCAAAAGGUGGCACUCCUUACUGCAAAUGUAUGUAACAAUAUGUCAUUAAGGCGCAAUCUCCUACUGUAGAUUUUAUAAUAAUUGCUCUAUCUUGAUUUGUGAUAUAACUUCCCCAAAAUCAAAUUUUAAAAAUCCCAAACUCCUUCAAUUUUGUAAUAUAUUUAUAAUUUUGAAAAAAAAUAUUUUUAAAAUCAGCUAAAUGGCAAUCAAUUAAAAUAGAGAUAAUUUUCCGAGAAGUUGUAUAAUUCUUAAGCAUAAAUGAUGUGUCACUGAAAAAAAAAAGCAUUUUAAUCAGUAGGAAACUUGCUUUUUGUUUCCUUACAAACUAUUGGAUUUUAGACAUUUAUUAUCAAAAUCGUGUACUUCAUGCUGCAGUGAGGGUAACAAUAUGUGAAAUUUGAGUUUCCACAGAGACUUUUAAAAGGUACCUAAAACCCAAAAACAUAUAGUAAGUGGAAAGGAAAUAUUUUCUCCAGGUACUACAUAUCAGAAGUAGCUUAAAGUCUUUGACAAACAAAGCAAAACUCCAGGAAAAAAAAAUCAUAUAAAUUUGAGUACGGACAUUUUUGGUUCCAAGUAAUUUUUUAAUCUCCUUCUUUAAUAGCAAGUGAUUCUUUUGAAACUGUUUUUUUCUAUUCUAGACUUUCAAAUGUUUGAGCACUUUAAAAAAUUAAAGUUGUAUUUGGAAUAACCUCUCAGGACCCUAGGGCACUGCUAAGACCAUCAGCAAGAAGAAGAAGCCAUCACUAGAAAAUAACAUAGAACAAGAAUUAAAGCAAGAAGCUACCUAUUCAGUCAAUAUAAGUUGUAAUAAAACAGUCUGUUUCAAAGGAUAAAAUCAACAUUAUUGUACAUAUUUUCUAUUUUUUCAUAUAUCUCAUUAUAUUUGGGGAUGUAAUGAACUUUAACCAGUGGAUAAGUUUCUUGCCCAAUUUGAAUGGGUGUGGAAUAGUCAACUCAGAAAUAGAACAUUCCAUCAGAGUAUCUUACGUGGGUCUUCAAAAUUGUCUUCUCCGCUAUCACCACAAUUUGAGGAUGAGAGGUCAGUUCACCAAUAUGAUAAAACCAGGAGAGGGAACACUGAACAUUUUACUUCCAUA